UUCAGAGAUUGACAAGACUUGAAUCUGCUUUCUUCUCCCUUAGCUCAUUCUUCUAAACCAGCUAUUUUGCAAUGUAAAAUGUGGUGCCCUCCUGUUGUUCUUAUCCCCAAGCUGCUGGAGACCCAAAAGAAGAUGAACUCUAUGAAGCAGCCAUAAUAGAAACUAACUGCAUUUACCGUCUCAUGGAUGACAAAUUUGUUCCUGAUGACAACUACUGGGGGGAAAUUCCAAAAUGCUCCCUUCUGCAACCCAAAGAGGUACUGGUGUUUGAUUUUGGUAGUGAGGUUUACGUAUGGCAUGGGAAAGAAGUCACAUUAGCACAACGAAAAGUAGCAUUUCAGCUGGCAAAGCACUUAUGGAACGGAACCUUUGACUAUGAGAACUGUGACAUCAAUCCCCUGGAUCCUGGAGAAUGCAAUCCGCUUAUCCCCAGAAAAGGACAGGGGCGGCCCGACUGGGCGCUAUUUGGGAGACUUACUGAACACAAUGAAACAAUUUUGUUCAAAGAGAAGUUUCUGGAUUGGACAGAACUGAAGAGAGAGAAUGAGAAGAACCCCAGGGAACUUGCCCAGCACAAGGAAGACCUCAGGGCUGAUGUCAAGCCGUACGAUGUGACACGGAUGGUGUCCAUGCCCCAGACGACAGCAGGCACCAUCCUGGACGGGGUGAACGUCGGCCGUGGCUAUGGCCUGGUGGAAGGACAUGACAGGAGGCAGUUUGAGAUCACCAGCAUCUCCGUGGAUGUCUGGCACAUCCUAGAAUUCGACUAUAGCAGGCUCCCCAAACAGAGCAUUGGGCAGUUCCACGAGGGGAUGCCUAUGUGGUCAAGUGGAAGUUCAUGGUGAGCACAGCAGGUUAGUGAACACUCAUGGUUUUUUCCAGCUGAAAGAGGCCGGCCCAGCAGCCCUGCAGGAGCCAGCUUCCCCGAUGAGUCCUGUUGUGCUCCCCACUGGGUAUGUGCAGUGGGGCACUGCAGUCAUGCGCCUCUGAGAGCCACUUAGUAAACCACAGAGAUGAAAAGAAGGCCGAAUUCCUAACAACCUAGCAUUGCCGAGGCCGCUGGUGUUCACCUGUAGAAAUUGAACUUGCACAUCAAGUCUUCUCGGCUCCCUCUCUCUCUCUCCUGCCCCUGUCCCCAGAGCUUUUCUGGGAAACAGAAAAGCUCUAAAUGAUGGCCUCUAAAUGAUAUUUCCCAUGUGGCCGUGUGCUGCUUCAAUUAAAGUCGUUGAGUACAGCAUAUCUUCGUGAUUUAAAGCUGGAACCAAAUGGGCUGUAACAUUAUAGUAAAUACACGCACGGAAGAUUGAUUUGAAAAGUGAAAGAGGCUGUUUCUCCCGAGACUGAGAGCACGUGUGGUGCUUUGUGGGUCUGGUAUAGUAAAUGCAGAGUCUAAACUCUCCUCGGUUCCUGAUGGUGACAUACCGCAUUGCAAAACACUGACCUGGAUGCUCUGGAGAAAUCACCCCUUUCCUUGCCAAGGAGGAGCCUUUCCCACAGCG
This 1499-nucleotide long non-coding RNA is filed under the name Rhinopithecus bieti (black snub-nosed monkey). RNAcentral's name for it is "lncRNA (ENSRBIG00000045677.1)". The record is from RNAcentral. Lineage: Eukaryota; Metazoa; Chordata; Mammalia; Primates; Cercopithecidae.